UUUUGAAUGGGCAAAGGUCAACAUUGGCAGACUGCGAGAUUUGACUUUGAAGGAUGUGAUUUCCAUGAUCUUUCUCUUUUUAUUUUUCUUGCAUUACAUUUCCAGAAAGGUAUGGAUGUUAGCUUUUUAAUGCCAUUGGAAUCACUUCGUUUCGACCUCUAGAACUCACGCUCUGCACAAAACAUCGACUGAACGUCAAAUCUGCCAAUUAC
RNAcentral lists this long non-coding RNA (212 nucleotides) under Populus tremula. RNAcentral's name for it is "long non-coding RNA (PTRE_LNC002356)". The record is from RNAcentral. Lineage: Eukaryota; Viridiplantae; Streptophyta; Magnoliopsida; Malpighiales; Salicaceae.